RNAcentral lists this long non-coding RNA (933 nucleotides) under Heterocephalus glaber (naked mole-rat). Its description in RNAcentral is "lncRNA (ENSHGLG00100049902.1)". Lineage: Eukaryota; Metazoa; Chordata; Mammalia; Rodentia; Bathyergidae. The record is from RNAcentral.
AGCACCUAUAGCCUUCUUAAAUUUUUAAUUUAUAUUUUGUUUUACCUAUGUAUAUUUUGUUUCCAGGUACCACAAAGGCCUGAAUCCAGCGCCUACCUAUUGGAUUAUUUGCCCACUUGCCAUUGAAAAUGUGAGAAAACAGUAACACAAGUUUAUUCACAAUUUGACCAAAGGGGCCUCAGGUCUCAGAUUUCAAGCUCCACACCACCCUGAGCUGCAGUCCAUCACGUGACUGCAGGUAAACCACACCCAAAUCAUGAGGACUUCAUGAUACUCUUCCAUUUCCAUCUUUGGAAAAUGUAUCCUCCAAGAAAUGUAAUGUGUUCCAGUAGAGAAUAACCAUGCACAUGAGCAAGAAUCUGAGAUAAAUAUACAACAGCCACUUCGGAUCAUGAAUCCUGAGGCAUUUUCAACAAUCAAGUUCAGGAAUGUGCCUAAGGAAAUAAGCUCUCAUGCUUAUUCAUCAACAGUACCAUUUGUCACUGCAAUGGCUUUUGGACAAGUAUCUGAAGCCAGAUGGGGGGCAGGAGGAAUACCAGAUGCCCCUUCAGCAUGGCAUUUUACCUGAUGGACAGCAAGGAAGCUUUCUGAGAUAAAUUGGGCCUUGACAGAGACAGGAGUAAAACUAAGAAGUUCAUGACAGACUAAAUAUGAACAUGAAUAUAUAUUUAUAUAUAUGGACACAUGUAUUGUUAAAAUAUAUUAUUUGAAAUUUACAUUAAAAAGUGACAAGUGAUAGAGGAAAUAAUUAGGUAGAUGAAAAUGAUUAAAUAUAUGACAAUGGUUACUAAACAUGAGUGAUGAAAUAAGCCAGGUGCAGUGCACAUUUUUUCAUUUUAAAAUUUUAUUUCAUUAGUACAUUAUUGGAGUGCAUGAGGUUUGCCUUAGGGAGGAGGUGCAUGUACUUAACACAUCUGAUUCGUUUUUAUUCCC